RNAcentral lists this long non-coding RNA (467 nucleotides) under Mustela putorius furo (domestic ferret). RNAcentral describes it as "lncRNA (ENSMPUG00000026799.1)". Lineage: Eukaryota; Metazoa; Chordata; Mammalia; Carnivora; Mustelidae. The record is from RNAcentral.
CACAAUGGAAGGGGCUAGUAUAUAUACUUAAAAGUAGCAUAGAUUUUGGAGGAAUGGCAGAGAGCAGAGGAAAGCUGAGGAGAAUUUCUAUUUUGCCCAGGGUAUCCUGACAGAAAAUGACCUCCUUAAAGACAGAAGAGAAAUUCCUGGAAAGAGGUCAUUUGAUGACUGUUGAAGAUGGCAGAAACCUCACUUCUACCAAGGAGUUUAAUGUUAUUGUUGAAUAACUGAACUGCUGUAUUCAUCAAAUAUUCUGUCCUUAAAUAUAGUGGUUUCUCAAUAAAUGUAUAAUGAAUUAACGGAUUCAAACCUCACUUAAUUCUUAACUUUCAUCCAUUAACCCUAGUUCUGCUCUUGUAACUACACAAAAUCAUCUCACCCUCUUCCAUAAUGCUAAAGGUAACUAUUUUGGGUUUUCAAGUCUUUACCUUUCCCGUAUAAACACACCAACAAAUAACCUUUCCCAG